Molecule: ribosomal RNA, 480 nt
Filed under: uncultured bacterium
Lineage: Bacteria
Description: partial 16S ribosomal RNA
Rfam family: Bacterial small subunit ribosomal RNA
Source: RNAcentral
AUGCACGCUGGCGGCGUGCUUAACCCCUGCCAGUCGAACGAAGCACUUUAUUUGAUUUCCUUCGGGACUGAUUAUUUUGUGACUGAGUGGCGGACGGGUGAGUAACGCGUGGGUAACCUGCCUUGUACAGGGGGAUAACAGUUGGAAACGGCUGCUAAUACCGCAUAAGCGCACAGCAUCGCAUGAUGCAGUGUGAAAAACUCCGGUGGUAUAAGAUGGACCCGCGUUGGAUUAGCUAGUUGGUGAGGUAACGGCCCACCAAGGCGACGAUCCAUAGCCGACCUGAGAGGGUGACCGGCCACAUUGGGACUGAGACACGGCCCAAACUCCUACGGGAGGCAGCAGUGGGGAAUAUUGCACAAUGGGCGAAAGCCUGAUGCAGCGACGCCGCGUGAGCGAAGAAGUAUUUCGGUAUGUAAAGCUCUAUCAGCAGGGAAGAUAAUGACGGUACCUGACUAAGAAGCACCGGCUAAAUACGUG